Molecule: ribosomal RNA, 465 nt
Filed under: uncultured bacterium
Lineage: Bacteria
Description: partial 16S ribosomal RNA
Rfam family: Bacterial small subunit ribosomal RNA
Source: RNAcentral
CCUACGGGAGGCAGCAGUAGGGAAUCUUCCACAAUGGGCGAAAGCCUGAUGGAGCAACGCCGCGUGGGUGAAGAAGGUCUUCGGAUCGUAAAACCCUGUUGUUAGAGAAGAACGUGCGUUAGAGUAACUGUUCACGUUUCGACGGUAUCUAACCAGAAAGCCACGGCUAACUACGUGCCAGCAGCCGCGGUAAUACGUAGGUGGCAAGCGUUAUCCGGAUUUAUUGGGCUUAAAGGGAACGCAGGCGGUCUUUUAAGUCUGAUGUGAAAGCCUUCGGCUUAACCGGAGUAGUGCAUUGGAAACUGGGAGACUGGAGUGUAGAAGAGGAGAGUGGAACUCCAGGUGGAGCGGUGAAAUGCGUAGAUAUAUGGAAGAACACCAGUGGCGAAGGCGGCUCUCUGGUCUGUAACUGACGCUGAGGUUCGAAAGCGUGGGUAGCAAACAGGAUUAGAUACCCCAGUAGUC